GAUGAACGCUGGCGGCGUGCUUAACACAUGCAAGUCGAACGGAAAGGCCCAAGCUUGCUUGGGUACUCGAGUGGCGAACGGGUGAGUAACACGUGGGUGAUCUGCCCUGCACUUCGGGAUAAGCCUGGGAAACUGGGUCUAAUACCGGAUAGGACCACUUCUUGGAUGUUGUGGUGGAAAGGUUUUUCGGUGUGGGAUGAGCUCGCGGCCUAUCAGCUUGUUGGUGGGGUAAUGGCCUACCAAGGCGUCGACGGGUAGCCGGCCUGAGAGGGUGUACGGCCACAUUGGGGCUGGGAUACGGCCCAGACUCCUACGGGAGGCAGCAGUGGGGAAUAUUGCACAAUGGGCGCGAGCCUGAUGCAGCGACGGCGCGUGGGGGAUGACGGCCUUCGGGUUGUAAACUCCUUUCGCUAGGGACGAAGCGUUUUGUGACGGUACCUGGAGAAGAAGCACCGGCUAACUACGUG
RNAcentral lists this ribosomal RNA (467 nucleotides) under uncultured bacterium. RNAcentral describes it as "partial 16S ribosomal RNA". It matches the Rfam family "Bacterial small subunit ribosomal RNA", at positions 28 to 507 of the family's 1533-position model. The record is from RNAcentral.